UACGUAGGUGGCGAGCGUUGUCCGGAAUCAUUGGGCGUAAAGGGAGCGCAGGCGGCCGUGCAGGUCUUACUUAAAAGUUCGGGGCUCAACCCCGUGAUGGGUAAGAAACCGCAUGGCUUGAGUGCAGGAGAGGAAAGCGGAAUUCCUAGUGUAGCGGUGAAAUGCGUAGAUAUUAGGAGGAACACCAGUGGCGAAGGCGGCUUUCUGGACUGUAACUGACGCUGAGGCUCGAAAGCCAGGGGAGCGAACGGG
This 252-nucleotide ribosomal RNA is filed under the name uncultured bacterium. RNAcentral describes it as "partial 16S ribosomal RNA". It matches the Rfam family "Bacterial small subunit ribosomal RNA", at positions 524 to 776 of the family's 1533-position model. The record is from RNAcentral.